GGCCAGGUGGCAGAGUGGUCAAAUGCACCGGUCUGUAAAACCGGCGGGCGAUGCCCUUCGGGGGUUCAAAUCCCUCCCUGGCCA
This 84-nucleotide transfer RNA is filed under the name Elusimicrobiota bacterium. RNAcentral's name for it is "Elusimicrobia bacterium (groundwater metagenome) tRNA-Tyr". It matches the Rfam family "tRNA". Rfam says of the family: Transfer RNA (tRNA) molecules are approximately 80 nucleotides in length. Their secondary structure includes four short double-helical elements and three loops (D, anti-codon, and T loops). Further hydrogen bonds mediate the characteristic L-shaped molecular structure. tRNAs have two regions of fundamental functional importance: the anti-codon, which is responsible for specific mRNA codon recognition, and the 3' end, to which the tRNAs corresponding amino acid is attached (by aminoacyl-tRNA synthetases). tRNAs cope with the degeneracy of the genetic code in two manners: having more than one tRNA (with a specific anti-codon) for a particular amino acid; and 'wobble' base-pairing, i.e. permitting non-standard base-pairing at the 3rd anti-codon position. The record is from RNAcentral. Lineage: Bacteria; Pseudomonadati; Elusimicrobiota.